Molecule: ribosomal RNA, 253 nt
Filed under: uncultured bacterium
Lineage: Bacteria
Description: partial 16S ribosomal RNA
Rfam family: Bacterial small subunit ribosomal RNA
Source: RNAcentral
UACAGAGGGUGCGAGCGUUAAUCGGAAUUACUGGGCGUAAAGCGCACGUAGGUGGCGACGUAAGUCGGGUGUGAAAGCCCCGGGCUCAACCUGGGAAUUGCAUUCGAGACUGCAUUGCUGGAGUACGGAAGAGGAAGGCGGAAUUCCCGGUGUAGCGGUGAAAUGCGUAGAUAUCAGAAGGAACAUCAGUGGCGAAAGCGGCUUCCUGGUCCAGUACCGACGUUCAGGCACGAAAGCGUGGGGAGCAAACAGG